UCAGAUUGAACGCUGGCGGCAGGCCUAACACAUGCAAGUCGAGCGGCAGCGGGUCCUUCGGGAUGCCGGCGAGCGGCGGACGGGUGAGUAAUGCAUGGGAAUCUGCCCGAUAGUGGGGGAUAACCCGGGGAAACCCGGGCUAAUACCGCAUACGCCCCACGGGGGAAAGCAGGGGACCUUCGGGCCUUGCGCUAUCGGAUGAGCCCAUGUCGGAUUAGCUUGCUGGUGGGGUAACGGCUCACCAGGGCGACGAUCCGUAGCUGGUCUGAGAGGAUGAUCAGCCACACCGGGACUGAGACACGGCCCGGACUCCUACGGGAGGCAGCAGUGGGGAAUAUUGGACAAUGGGGGCAACCCUGAUCCAGCCAUGCCGCGUGUGUGAAGAAGGCCCUCGGGUUGUAAAGCACUUUCAGCGGGGAAGAAGGCGUGACGGCCAAUACCCGUCACGAAGGACAUCACCCGCAGAAGAAGCACCGGCUAACUCCGUGCCAGCAGCCGCGGUAAUACGGAGGGUGCAAGCGUUAAUCGGAAUUACUGGGCGUAAAGGGCGCGUAGGCGGCCUGCCAAGCCGGAUGUGAAAGCCCCGGGCUCAACCCGGGAAUGGCAUUCGGAACUGGCAGGCUCGAGUGCAGGAGAGGAAGGUGGAAUUCCCGGUGUAGCGGUGAAAUGCGUAGAGAUCGGGAGGAAUACCAGUGGCGAAGGCGGCCUUCUGGACUGACACUGACGCUGAGGCGCGAAAGCGUGGGUAGCAAACAGGAUUAGAUACCCUGGUAGUCCACGCCGUAAACGAUGUCGACCAGCCGUUGGCCCCCUUGAGGGGCUGGUGGCACAGUUAACGCACUAAGUCGACCGCCUGGGGAGUACGGCCGCAAGGCUAAAACUCAAAUGAAUUGACGGGGGCCCGCACAAGCGGUGGAGCAUGUGGUUUAAUUCGAUGCAACGCGAAGAACCUUACCUGCCCUUGACAUCCUGCGAAUCCGGUAGAGAUGCCGGAGUGCCUUCGGGAACGCAGAGACAGGUGCUGCAUGGCUGUCGUCAGCUCGUGUUGUGAAAUGUUGGGUUAAGUCCCGUAACGAGCGCAACCCCUGUCCCUUUUUGCCAGCGGUCCGGCCGGGAACUUCAGGGAGACUGCCGGUGACAAACCGGAGGAAGGUGGGGACGACGUCAAGUCAUCAUGGCCCUUACGGGCAGGGCUACACACGUGCUACAAUGGCCGGUACAGAGGGUUGCGAAGCCGCGAGGUGAAGCCAAUCCCGCAAAGCCGGCCUCAGUCCGGAUCGGAGUCUGCAACUCGACUCCGUGAAGUCGGAAUCGCUAGUAAUCGCGGAUCAGAAUGCCGCGGUGAAUACGUUCCCGGGCCUUGUACACACCGCCCGUCACACCAUGGGAGUGGACUGCACCAGAAGUGGUUAGCCCAACC
Molecule: ribosomal RNA, 1420 nt
Filed under: Kushneria aurantia
Lineage: Bacteria; Pseudomonadati; Pseudomonadota; Gammaproteobacteria; Oceanospirillales; Halomonadaceae
Description: 16S ribosomal RNA
Rfam family: Bacterial small subunit ribosomal RNA
Source: RNAcentral